AGUCCAUUGAGCAACUGGCCCCAGCCUCUGAUCCCACCUGCUGUCCUCACUUCAGGACCACCUGGAUUUAUUGGUGGUUAAAGGGAAGUGGCAGGAUUUCACCUUGCUCCCACCUGCCCAUUCCAUGUCUGCCUUGCCCUCCUCACCUGUGGUCCCACUGGUUCCACCACCCAGAAGAGGAGAUGCCUGUACUGAGCUCCAGGCUCAGCUCAGCUGCUCUGUCUCCUGCCUUCCUAUGGGAUGUGUAGUUAAACUUCCCAGGCCUUAUAGAACUCUCUGGAGCUGUGGUGCCCAGUGGAGGGGAAAGCUUAGCCCAAGACCACCUCCACUUGCUCCAGCCUGGUGACAGAGGGGCGGGCAGGUGAGCUGUAGCAAGAUCUUGCUUGAUGGCCAAUUGGUCUGGGCUACCCUGCACAUGGACACCUUCAACCUUCCUGGCCCAAGCCACAGACACAGUGAAGGUAUCCUCUGGACUGACCAUACCACCCCAUGUUACCUUGCCAGGCAAGCAUGUGCAGGUCCUCCAGAAGUAACUGAGCCUGUAGUUAAGAAAUUUCCUGCAUUUUCCUGAGGAAGGCACUAACUCCUUCUUGAGGUCCAGUGCUGGUGUAGAUGGGCCUGGUCUUCCUCUGGGAAUCCAGUGGAGAAGAAAGCUGCUCCUCUGGGAAUCCAGUGGGAAAAGUUUGCCUGUGGUGUUCCAAGCCUCAAAUUCUAUCCAGGUAGGAAUGCUUGGCUCCUCCCCCUGGGCAGAGUAUCUCCCAGCUGGAUGAUGGAAUUUUCUCAGCCAUGCAGUGACACUCACUGGCCCAUGAACAGAAGAUAUCUCCCUGGAAGGAGGAUGGACUGUGGAAGAUAUAAAGAAAAGCUGCCCAAUUAACAGAAGACAACUGCCCCACCUCCAACAGAUGGAAAUAGAAUACACACCCCUAGCCUAAGACACCCUCCCACAGAGCAGCCCCCCAGAAAAGCAAAGGAGUGCCAGUGGUGCCCCAGAGUGACCCCGGUGUGAUUUGAACACACAGCCUUCUGAUCUGGAGUCAGAUGCGCUGCCCUUGCGCCACGAGGCCAGGGUGGAGGGGGUCCAGGGGCCUCGGAUUGGCUGCUGGGAAUGUCCUUUCCAUGGGGACCACCCUGGGGUGUCCCUGCACCCCAGGAGCAGGGCUGUGGCUGUGGAGGGACAA
Molecule: long non-coding RNA, 1181 nt
Organism: Vidua macroura (Pin-tailed whydah)
Lineage: Eukaryota; Metazoa; Chordata; Aves; Passeriformes; Viduidae
Exons: 3
Source: RefSeq, a predicted model, not a curated record